GACGAACGCUGGCGGCGUGCCUAAUACAUGCAAGUAGAACGCUGAAGAGAGGAGCUUGCUCUUCUUGGAUGAGUUGCGAACGGGUGAGUAACGCGUAGGUAACCUGCCUUGUAGCGGGGGAUAACUAUUGGAAACGAUAGCUAAUACCGCAUAACAAUGGAUGACACAUGUCAUUUAUUUGAAAGGGGCAAUUGCUCCACUACAAGAUGGACCUGCGUUGUAUUAGCUAGUAGGUGAGGUAACGGCUCACCUAGGCGACGAUACAUAGCCGACCUGAGAGGGUGAUCGGCCACACUGGGACUGAGACACGGCCCAGACUCCUACGGGAGGCAGCAGUAGGGAAUCUUCGGCAAUGGGGGCAACCCUGACCGAGCAACGCCGCGUGAGUGAAGAAGGUUUUCGGAUCGUAAAGCUCUGUUGUAAGUCAAGAACGAGUGUGAGAGUGGAAAGUUCACACUGUGACGGUAGCUUACCAGAAAGGGACGGCUAACUACGUGCCAGCAGCCGCGGUAAUACGUAGGUCCCGAGCGUUGUCCGGAUUUAUUGGGCGUAAAGCGAGCGCAGGCGGUUUGAUAAGUCUGAAGUUAAGGCUGUGGCUCAACCAUAGUUCGCUUUGGAAACUGUCAAACUUGAGUGCAGAAGGGGAGAGUGGAAUUCCAUGUGUAGCGGUGAAAUGCGUAGAUAUAUGGAGGAACACCGGUGGCGAAAGCGGCUCUCUGGUCUGUAACUGACGCUGAGGCUCGAAAGCGUGGGGAGCGAACAGGAUUAGAUACCCUGGUAGUCCACGCCGUAAACGAUGAGUGCUAGGUGUUGGAUCCUUUCCGGGAUUCAGUGCCGCAGCUAACGCAUUAAGCACUCCGCCUGGGGAGUACGACCGCAAGGUUGAAACUCAAAGGAAUUGACGGGGGCCCGCACAAGCGGUGGAGCAUGUGGUUUAAUUCGAAGCAACGCGAAGAACCUUACCAGGUCUUGACAUCCCGAUGCUAUUUCUAGAGAUAGAAAGUUACUUCGGUACAUCGGUGACAGGUGGUGCAUGGUUGUCGUCAGCUCGUGUCGUGAGAUGUUGGGUUAAGUCCCGCAACGAGCGCAACCCCUAUUGUUAGUUGCCAUCAUUCAGUUGGGCACUCUAGCGAGACUGCCGGUAAUAAACCGGAGGAGGGUGGGGAUGACGUCAAAUCAUCAUGCCCCUUAUGACCUGGGCUACACACGUGCUACAAUGGUUGGUACAACGAGUUGCGAGUCGGUGACGGCAAGCUAAUCUCUUAAAGCCAAUCUCAGUUCGGAUUGUAGGCUGCAACUCGCCUACAUGAAGUCGGAAUCGCUAGUAAUCGCGGAUCAGCACGCCGCGGUGAAUACGUUCCCGGGCCU
This 1368-nucleotide ribosomal RNA is filed under the name uncultured bacterium. Its description in RNAcentral is "bacterial SSU rRNA". It matches the Rfam family "Bacterial small subunit ribosomal RNA", at positions 28 to 1381 of the family's 1533-position model. The record is from RNAcentral.